GCCGGAGUGGCGGAAUGGCAUACGCAGGGCACUCAAAAUGCCCCGGCCCUCGUGGCCGUGUGGGUUCGAGUCCCACCUCCGGCACCA
Molecule: transfer RNA, 87 nt
Filed under: Pseudomonadota bacterium
Lineage: Bacteria; Pseudomonadati; Pseudomonadota
Description: Proteobacteria bacterium tRNA-Leu
Rfam family: tRNA
About the family: Transfer RNA (tRNA) molecules are approximately 80 nucleotides in length. Their secondary structure includes four short double-helical elements and three loops (D, anti-codon, and T loops).
Source: RNAcentral